RNAcentral lists this transfer RNA (76 nucleotides) under Mycobacterium helveticum. RNAcentral describes it as "Mycobacterium sp. 16-83 tRNA-Asn". It matches the Rfam family "tRNA". Rfam says of the family: Transfer RNA (tRNA) molecules are approximately 80 nucleotides in length. Their secondary structure includes four short double-helical elements and three loops (D, anti-codon, and T loops). Lineage: Bacteria; Bacillati; Actinomycetota; Actinomycetes; Mycobacteriales; Mycobacteriaceae. RNAcentral also lists the same sequence under 1 other name. The record is from RNAcentral.
UCCCCUGUAGCUCAACUGGCAGAGCAUUCGGCUGUUAACCGAACGGUUGGAGGUUCGAGUCCUCCCGGGGGAGCAA